AUCUAGUCUGCUCUAUGUAUCUAUGGCCGGAACGUCUGGUAGCAUCUCUGGCUGCUGUUGACCUGGUUUUUGGAGUAAAACACGGUGGAAGCUGAAUUAGUGAGGAUGACUCCUGCUCCUGUCAUCUCUAAGCUCCUCACACAUCUUUACCUGCACAUGAGGAAAAUCACUCCUGUAGAAUGCAGAUGUUCAGAGGGAGAUGAUGCCACAUCUGGUCCAGCUGAUGGAAGGUCUUGAAGUUCUCUGACUGGCCUCGACUGAAGAUGGUCGUCUCACUGGAUUUAAGGUUCAGAUGCUCAGUAACAAACUCCACCAAUGAGCCAACAGGGAAGCUGUAGGUUUAUUAAAUGUUGCUAUGAAGGUUUCGCUGUUUUUCUUUGUGAAUGCAAUGAGCUCCAACUGAAAGUUGAAUUAGAACUUAGAAGUAAAUCCUUCCAUCUGAAAGGAUUUAGUUGCAUUAAUAACCUCAUAACAUUCUAAUUUUUAUUCCAGGCUUGGUUGGAAAUAGAAUCUCUGUAUUGAUUCAGGUAAAAACUGAACUUCACAGCAUGUUGGAGCAAAACAACCAGAUGAAAACUGUGAUGGUGUUGGAUUGUCAGACCGUAAUGUUGCAGCUCAAAGCAGCUUUUCUAGCUCAGUUCAUUCUGACAUUCAGCUAUGAAUCAACACAGCAGAUGGUGAUCCAUGCUGUGGAAGUCUCACAUCUCCUGAUUUAAUGGAGCUGCUUUACACUUUUUACACUGUUUAUUCACC
This is a long non-coding RNA of Amphiprion ocellaris (clown anemonefish), 753 nucleotides long. NCBI's taxonomy places the organism in Eukaryota, Metazoa, Chordata, Actinopteri, Pomacentridae. The record is from Ensembl.